AUGUUGUUUCCUCAGUGGAGUGCUAUGGUCAUCUGCUUCCAACAUUUGCUGUAUGACACUGGGAUAACAGAACUGGCAGGACAGAGAGAAGAAAUAGCUGAAGCCUAUAGUGGAUGCCAAUCCAGUAGCCCAACAUCCUGCAGACUAAUCAGGAAGGGGAGGAGUAUGGAAUGCCAGGUGCUGAAGUUUCAAAGGAUUUGGGUCUAUUGGCAGAGGGCAAAGUCCCAUGAAGUGACUGAAGAAAAUUCAACAUCUUGGGCCUGUCUUAUUCUCCCAAGUAACCUCAGCACGUAUGUGUUAUUAUUAUCCCCAUUUUAUAAAUGAGGAAACAAGCCAAUUUAGGUGAAGUACCUUGCCCAGGGUCACAAAAUUGGUAAGUAUCUGAGGCCAGAUUUGAACUCACAUCUUCCUGACUCCAGGCCAGUGCUCUAUCCACUGAGUAAGUUCUCUGUUUAGAAGAGAGGCUCCCCAAGAUGCCCUUUAGAGGGAGAGGGUGAGCUCUCCAAUCACCUCGGGCCCAGCAUCAGUUCUAUAUUACUGUAUAUACAUAUUCAUAUACAUGUAGCUGUACACCCAUAUGAGUAUGGAUAUGUGAAUAUUGUACACAUAUAUUACAUAUAUAAAGGAUAAAUGAGGAAUUGUAACAAUUUGGCCUGCCUCUAAGUGCCUUUCUCUGAUUGAGAAACUUCUCAAAUUUAAGGGAAAAUGCCAGCUGCCUUUUUAGCCCUUCCUACAAGAGGAAUCAUCAAGAAAUUGCUUGAAGUCCAAGCUCUGAUACCUACUCAUUAUAUGACAUUGGAUGAGUGAAUUUCCUCCUCUAUGCCACAUAAUUCUUACAUCAUCUACCUCAUAAGGUCAUAUAAGGAAAAAAAUUAUAAAUUUAGAAAAACAUGUCAGAUUUGGAAAAGAUUUGAGAGAUUGCUUCAUGAAACUAUCCUCUCAUUUUUGUAUAGAGAAGGAAAAUGAGGCCUAGAGAGAGAUGGUAAUUUGUGCAAGGACCCAUAGCUAGUAUUUAUAAGAGAGGACACUAGAACUUAGACAGUCUGUCACCCAUCUCAACACUUUCUCCAAUGCAGAAUGCUUGCUGCCCUAUUGUUCCAAACAUCCAAUGACUCCCUACAAAAUGACACAUCCAAUAGAACCUCUUGCCUGGCAUUCAAGGUCAUUAACAUUUUUGCUUUACUCUCCUCAUCAAAUGUAACCAUCAGUCCUCUACACACAUCCUCUACUCUCUACUCCUUUACUGUCCUCAAACAUCCUGUGAUUUCCCCCAUUUUUUAGUCCUUUAAUGCUAGCGCCAUCAUUUGGUUCCUAUUUUUUGUCUGCCACUCUUUCAUUCAGGCCAGAAGUUCACAGGCUGCUCAUUGACUGAAUCCCACUACUGGUCAGCAUGGAAGUUUAGAUCUGUUCCAUUUCUAACAUGGGCCAAUUCACCUCUACUUGAUAGCCUGAUGGCCCCUUCUUCUGCAACUGAUGCCAGAAUUAAUGUGGUCAUCAGACUGUCUUUAGCUCAAAAGCAGCUUGAAACUCCCAAACUCAAGCUAUUCACUAUCCUCUCUCUCCCUUAGAAGCAGAGAUUUAGGCAUGUGCCACAAAGUCCAUUAAUUUCUUAAAUGAAAAUAGUUCAUGUUUUAAGAAUGUUUUAUAGUUUACAAAACACUUUCAUCACAGCAACCCCAAGGUUGGCUAAAGAAUGGCUAGAGAAAGUAUUUUUAUUUCAUUUUACAGAUGAGGAAACUGAGACUUAGAGAGAUCCAAUAAGUUUCCUGUGGCUGCUGAGCAUUAGAGCUGGAUCAUGACCAUAGCACCUAGCACUGUCUAGUACUAUUUCUUCUGGGCCUGAAUUCUCAAGGGCAACUUCAAGUCCUACUUGUUCCAUGAAGUCUAUGUCAUUCAUAUCUUUUUUUCCUCUGGCAUUUCAUAGCAUUUCUAGCCUGUAAUAAUACAAUGAUAUCCUGCCUCCUUGAGUUCUCAAAGCAUUUCAUGAAUAUGAGUCUUUCACCUACAAUUCUCUUCCAUCCUCCUCCACUUCCAUAUACCUCAACUCAGAGUUCCUUCAAAUAGGAAUCAGGUUUUAUUCUUCUCUUGUCUUCUUCAAGGAGAAUUGAACACAAAUGGGAACAUAUUGGCCCUCAGGACACACUGUUUAAAAUAUUGAUUGUCUGUUGUCAUUUCUAGAAGUUCAUUUCUCACCCAAGCCUAGAAGAGUAAUUAUACUCUCUCCUCCGCUCCCCUUAAAAACUUAAACCUAAAGACAGCUGUCCACUCUAACCCCUUGGAAGCCCUUGUGACAGUAGGAAAUUCAAGACUUCUUUCCCUGUGGCACGUUCCAGCCCUCAGAACACAUUUAGGGACCAUUCUGGGGUUUUAGAAGCCCACAUCUCACACACACACAUACCCCACUUCUGGCAUCUCCAAUUUCAGAAACAGCUGAAAAUGUUUUGAGGAAGGCCAUGGAUAAUCAUGGAAGAAGGCAUCAGGCCAACCAGCUGGCUAGUCUCAUCACCAUCCUGCUCAGAAUAUGGUCAGCACUAUUUGGAGCUGACACAUGGGCAAAAACCUGAAGCCUAGCUUUGUGUUUCUCCUAGGCAUUCACAAUGGGUAAAUUUUCAGAGCUCCAAUAUAGAUCAGCUUCCUCAGAAUUCAUGGAAGCAAUGGGGUGAAAAAAGCAUUAGACUAGCUAGAGUUUCUGGUUUCAAAAGGAAUUCUAAUACUAUUUGUAUGAUAUUGCAUAAGGCAUUAAAUUGUUCUGGUUCUCAGACUCAGCCUGCAAAAUAAGUUUGUAUCAGAAAACUUCUAAGGGUCCUUCUAGACCUAGAACUGUCAGUCUAUAACUGUCCUCCCCUGCCUCCUUUCUGUAGGUUAUCCAAAUCUCUUUCUCAUAUAAUAUCUAGUUGGACCUGAGGACUUUCUUUGUCCAGAGUAGUCAACAAGCUAGAACCCUUUGAUGGAGUCUAGUUCUUUGCAUAUUUAUUUUGGUAACUUUGUAAAUUCCUUUCCCUCUCCAAGUCUCAGCCUCCCUCAUGCCUAAUGAAGGAGAGAAGUGGGAUACAUAUCUUUAAGGUUCUUUCCAGCUCUGUUAUUCCUUAAAUCUAUGGCUAUUGAGGUAGAGCCAAGUUAGUGGAGUACAGGAAACAACCCAGUUGAACACUCCCAACAUUCCCCUCUAAACAACUUUAAAAAAUAACUCCUCAAAUCAAAUUCUCAUGCAGCAGAGCCAACAAAUUGUCAGAGUGAUAUUUCCCAAUCUAAGACAAUUUAAAAGGUUGUCAGGAGAGGUCUGUAACAGCAGGGUGGGCACCAGAACAGAGUACACAUAGCAGCAACUCUAACAAUGGGCCUUGGAGAUGGUCAAGACAGUGAUGGUGUGAUGGUGGAGGCAACAUUAGUAACUUUUGGAGCUCUCAGGCAAGACAUGGUAAAGAGGUCAAAAAGAGAUUUACAUGGAUCCUUUGUUGAUAAUGGUUCUACUGGUGCUAAGUAGCAAUUCUAUUUCCCAUAUGCAUUAUGGCUCACAGUUCCAAAGCACAGAGGAAGAUUUGUGACCUGCCAUAAAGGAUCAGGGGCCUUGAUCACAUUUUUAAGGCCAAGAAUAGCACUAGCACUUGUGGCUACAGGAGAGUAGGGGUCCUGGUAACAGUUUAAGAACCAAGAGAAACAUUAGUGCUUGUGGCUCUAGGAGAGCAGGGGACCUUCAUGAGUAAAGACAAUAACACAGACCAGGAGAGCACUGACAACAUCUCACUCCUAAUCACAGCACCUUUGAAGGAAUGAAAACUUGUAUCCCACCAGAACUAGUUCAGAAAAUAGCAUCAUGAUGUAUAAUUGAAAAUCUGUUAUCCUAAAAAAUGAACUACAUUUCCCAGGAGUCUACUGACUUUCUAUCAUUAUAUGCUUCCUGUAGAUAGGGGAUAUUAGAUAGGGACAUGGAAGGUCCCACUGCUUUACUUCCUGUCCCAAGCUUGGUGGUGUGUGAUAAUUAAAAUGUUUUGGGAGCAAGGGAAAUAUAUAACAAUUAUGACCACUGAAAUAUGUUUUCUACUGUGCCUUGGGUUUAUAUAAAUAUAAGAUGGUCGCCAGGGAAUAUAUUCCCAAUUUAUGAAUAUGCCCAAGCCAACUGGGUUUUAUAGAGAAAUUUAAUUUAUAAUACACUGAUUAAUCAAUAGAAAAAGAGAGAAAGUAAGAAAGGAAUAAGAAUGAAUAAAUCAGUCAGUUGGUUUUAUCA
Molecule: long non-coding RNA, 4225 nt
Filed under: Monodelphis domestica (gray short-tailed opossum)
Lineage: Eukaryota; Metazoa; Chordata; Mammalia; Didelphimorphia; Didelphidae
Description: lncRNA (ENSMODG00000046876.1)
Source: RNAcentral